Molecule: transfer RNA, 88 nt
Filed under: Bangiopsis subsimplex
Lineage: Eukaryota; Rhodophyta; Stylonematophyceae; Stylonematales; Stylonemataceae
Description: tRNA-Ser
Rfam family: tRNA
About the family: Transfer RNA (tRNA) molecules are approximately 80 nucleotides in length. Their secondary structure includes four short double-helical elements and three loops (D, anti-codon, and T loops).
Source: RNAcentral
GGAGAGGUGGCAGAGUUGGUCGAUUGCGUCUGAUUUGAAAUCAGAUGAGUUUGCAAGAACUCCGUGGGUUCGAAUCCCACCCUCUCCG